CAGGCAGGGAGGGGCCAAAUCUGAGUCGGGAAACCUGGCCUCUCCCAGAAUUUGUGUCCAUGGACAAGAAGUGAAAGUGUUAGCUCGUUAUUAGAGAGAGAGAGGAUGGGAAAGGCACAGGCUGGGUGAAUUAAUAGCAGCAGCAGUAAAGCAGCUUUGUGUGAGUGACCCUGAUAUGAUUGACUGUAUGUUCAGGAUAUGUAAUGAUGGUGGAGCCUUCCUGCAAAUACUGCACUAAGGAAAUGCAGGUUCCAAAGUCCAUUGCUUUCAGAGAGAUUACUACUGUGAAAUUUGUAAACAUGAAAUUGGUGGAGAGAAUGUAUGU
This is a long non-coding RNA of Vombatus ursinus (common wombat), 325 nucleotides long. RefSeq lists it as uncharacterized. The record is from RefSeq and is a predicted model, not a curated record. Lineage: Eukaryota; Metazoa; Chordata; Mammalia; Diprotodontia; Vombatidae. The transcript has 3 exons.